CCAGUGCCCCUUUCUCUGUGACACAUCCAUCCACUGGAAACUUUCGUACAACUAGCUGAAAGAAGAGAAACAUCCUAUUUCAUGUCACUGGAGCCCUAAUGAUCGCAGCCAUUUCAGGAAAUGCCAUCAAUUACAGUGAGGAGCUCAUUCAGAAGUGAAAGAUGAGUUCCAUUCUCUGUUACUUAGAGGGUGGAUAUCCUCCUCCACUGAAUGCAAACUAUUAAGUAAUGAAAAGACAGCACUCCAAGCAAUAUAGAUUUAUAGGCCAACCUGGCAAUCAAGGGUAACUGACAUGAAAAUGGAUUGCUUCACAUUUUAAUUACAAAGAUACUCUUCAGUACCAUAAAUUGAAGAAAACACUAACUUUUUGUGGCUACUGUAAUUGUCAAAGUAUAAUUACCUGUGUUUUCUCACCUACGUAUUUGAGAUAGAGACAAAACCAAGUAAGUUAAUCCACUUAUAAUAAAAAUGUCUUCUGAGAAUAUA
This 486-nucleotide long non-coding RNA is filed under the name Homo sapiens (human). Its description in RNAcentral is "non-protein coding lnc-NUDT12-5:4". Lineage: Eukaryota; Metazoa; Chordata; Mammalia; Primates; Hominidae. The record is from RNAcentral.